RNAcentral lists this ribosomal RNA (468 nucleotides) under uncultured bacterium. Its description in RNAcentral is "partial 16S ribosomal RNA". It matches the Rfam family "Bacterial small subunit ribosomal RNA", at positions 28 to 507 of the family's 1533-position model. The record is from RNAcentral.
GACGAACGCUGGCGGCGUGCUUAACACAUGCAAGUCGAACGGAAAGGCCCUGCUUUUGUGGGGUGCUCGAGUGGCGAACGGGUGAGUAACACGUGAGUAACCUGCCCUUGACUUUGGGAUAACUUCAGGAAACUGGGGCUAAUACCGGAUAGGAGCUCCUGCUGCAUGGUGGGGGUUGGAAAGUUUCGGCGGUUGGGGAUGGACUCGCGGCUUAUCAGCUUGUUGGUGGGGUAGUGGCUUACCAAGGCUUUGACGGGUAGCCGGCCUGAGAGGGUGACCGGCCACAUUGGGACUGAGAUACGGCCCAGACUCCUACGGGAGGCAGCAGUGGGGAAUAUUGCACAAUGGGCGGAAGCCUGAUGCAGCAACGCCGCAUGCGGGAUGACGGCCUUCGGGUUGUAAACCGCUUUCGCCUGUGACGAAGCGUGAGUGACGGUGAUGGGUAAAGAAGCACCGGCUAACUACGUG